Molecule: ribosomal RNA, 373 nt
Filed under: uncultured bacterium
Lineage: Bacteria
Description: bacterial SSU rRNA
Rfam family: Bacterial small subunit ribosomal RNA
Source: RNAcentral
GGGGGGAGCAAGCGUUGUUCGGAUUUACUGGGCGUAAAGGGCGCGUAGGCGGUCAGCACAAGUCAGUUGUGAAAUCUCCGGGCUUAACUCGGAAAGGUCAACUGAUACUGUGCGACUAGAGUGCAGAAGGGGCAACUGGAAUUCUCGGUGUAGCGGUGAAAUGCGUAGAUAUCGAGAGGAACACCUGCGGCGAAGGCGGGUUGCUGGGCUGACACUGACGCUGAUGCGCGAAAGCCAGGGGAGCGAACGGGAUUAGAUACCCCGGUAGUCCUGGCCUUAAACGAUGGAUGCUUGGUGUCUGGAGUUUUAUAGUCUCCGGGUGCCGUAGCUAACGCGUUAAGCAUCCCGCCUGGGGAGUACGGUCGCAAGACUG